AGAGUGUGCACAAGACAACAAAGAAAGGAAAAUCAAAUCCGAAGAAUCCAGUGUGAGUCCAGUGUUUUUGUACCUCCGUUGCGAAAGAAAAAGCUUGCUUGCGAGGAUGACAAUGGUGGCUGCUGUGCUGGAAAAAUAUAAAUUUUAGGUUGUGGUCUUUGAGAAGGAGAAAAGAGAGUAAAAAGGCUUGAGAAAGGAGAUGAGGGAUGUUGGGUAAUGGUGCUGUGAGAGGAAGGAUGCUGGGAAAGAUAAUGGUGUUGUGAGAGUGAAUUCCGAUGCAUAAAAACCACACUCUCUAUCUCUAUGAAAUUCAAUAUGAUCACUCUCUCUCUCUUUGAAAUUCAAUCUGCUGUGCACUGGAAUCUUUGACCACCUUUAAAGAUUAAAC
Molecule: long non-coding RNA, 388 nt
Filed under: Vigna radiata
Lineage: Eukaryota; Viridiplantae; Streptophyta; Magnoliopsida; Fabales; Fabaceae
Description: long non-coding RNA (VRAD_LNC008975)
Source: RNAcentral